CUGAAAUGACAGGAGAGUUACUGAACUAGAACAAAACAACAUGACCUACUAAAAUAAUGUUUUAAGAACUGGAGAGAUUUGUGAAAUUACAGUGUGAAACAAAUGUUCCAGAUCUAACCUUAAAUGGAACUGGCCAGAAGAUGGAUUUUCUGUUCUACAAAGCUCCAUCCUCCACAUCACCAUAUUUGCAUUGCUGCUGCUUCUCUUUGGCACUGCUGGGAUGCUGCCCUCACUGACCUGAUAACUGGAAGUAGCUGUUUUACUGCUAAUGGACGUGUCAAAGGUCUUCACUGUGAUCCCCCCACAGGACUACAUGGAGAGCUAAACAUGUCGAAGAAGCUGGACAUCAUGCAGCCUUCCAAAACUUCUCUGUGUGAAAUGGCACUGGACAGAAGGUGCUGUCUGCUCUACAGAAGUGGUCACG
Micropterus dolomieu (smallmouth bass) is the source of this 424-nucleotide long non-coding RNA. RefSeq lists it as uncharacterized. The record is from RefSeq and is a predicted model, not a curated record. The transcript has 3 exons. Lineage: Eukaryota; Metazoa; Chordata; Actinopteri; Centrarchiformes; Centrarchidae.